AGCCUGAAGGUAUUGAAAAAGAAUCAACCCAAAGUUUCCUUAUCUGCCCAAAAGGUACCAAAGCCUCAAAGCAAAUAACUCUGGAAUUGCCAAACGAUGUAGUGGAAGGAUCAGCCAGAUCUUUUGUCACUUUUGUGGGAGACAUUCUGGGAGUCGCAAUGCAGAAUCUAGAGAGCCUUCUCCAGACACCCUAUGGCUGCGGUGAACAGAACAUUGCCCAGCUGGCAGCUGACAUUUAUAUACUUGACUACCUCAACGCUACCAAACAGCUGACAGAAGAGGUCAGAUCCAAGGCUCUUCUU
Molecule: long non-coding RNA, 302 nt
Filed under: Rattus norvegicus (Norway rat)
Lineage: Eukaryota; Metazoa; Chordata; Mammalia; Rodentia; Muridae
Description: long non-coding RNA NONRATT021877
Source: RNAcentral